GAUGAACGCUGGCGGCGUGCCUAAUACAUGCAAGUCGAGCGAACAGACGAGGAGCUUGCUCCUCUGACGUUAGCGGCGGACGGGUGAGUAACACGUGGAUAACCUACCUAUAAGACUGGGAUAACUUCGGGAAACCGGAGCCAAUACCGGAUAAUAUAUUGAACCGCAUGGUUCACUAGUGAAAGACGGUUUUGCUGUCACUUAUAGAUGGUUCCGCGCCGCAUUAGCUAGUUGGUAAGGUAACGGCUUACCAAGGCAACGAUGCGUAGCCGACCUGAGAGGGUGAUCGGCCACACUGGAACUGAGACACGGUCCAGACUCCUACGGGAGGCAGCAGUAGGGAAUCUUCCACAAUGGGCGAAAGCCUGACGGAGCAACGCCGCGUGAGUGAUGAAGGUCUUCGGAUCGUAAAACUCUGUUAUUAGGGAAGAACAAAUGUGUAAGUAACUAUGCACGUCUUGACGGUACCUGAUCAGAAAGCCACGGCUAACUACGUG
This 497-nucleotide ribosomal RNA is filed under the name uncultured bacterium. RNAcentral describes it as "partial 16S ribosomal RNA". It matches the Rfam family "Bacterial small subunit ribosomal RNA", at positions 28 to 507 of the family's 1533-position model. The record is from RNAcentral.